CCCUUAGAUGUUCUGGGCCGCACGCGUGCUACACUGAGUGGAUCAGCGGGUCAGGUUGCGCGAAAGCGUUUCCUAAUCUUUAAAUCCGCUCGUGAUGGGGAUUGACGGUUGCAAUUUUCUGUCAUGAACGAGGAAUACCUUGUAAGCGCGGGUCAUCAUCCCGCGCUGAAUACGUCCCUGCCCUUUGUACACACCGCCCGUCGCUCCUACCGAUUGAGUGGUCCGGUGAGGCUUUGGGAUCUGAGCGGAAAGAGCGUUUCGCUGUUACUGCUCGGAAAACUCAGUCGAACCUUAUCAUUUAGAGGAAGGAGAAGUCGUAACA
Molecule: ribosomal RNA, 322 nt
Filed under: uncultured eukaryote
Lineage: Eukaryota
Description: partial 18S ribosomal RNA
Rfam family: Eukaryotic small subunit ribosomal RNA
Source: RNAcentral